UAUACGACCGUACCGCAAACCGACACUGGUGCGCGAGAUGAGUAUUCUAAGGCGCUUGAGAGAACUCAGGAGAAGGAACUCGGCAAAUUGACACCGUAACUUCGGAAGAAGGUGUGCCCUAUUAGUGUGUAGUGAACAACGAAGCAUGAAUGGGUUGCAAAAAAUCGGUGGCUGCGACUGUUUAUUAAAAACACAGCACUCUGCAAACACGAAAGUGGACGUAUAGGGUGUGACGCCUGCCCGGUGCUGGAAGAUUAAAUGAUGGGGUGCAAGCUCUUGAUUGAAGUCCCAGUAAACGGCGGCCGUAACGAUAACGGUCCUAAGGUAGCGAAAUUCCUUGUCGGGUAAGUUCCGACCUGCACGAAUGGCGUAACGAUGGCCACACUGUCUCCUCCUGAGACUCAGCGAAGUUGAAAUGUUUGUGAUGAUGCAAUCUCCCCGCGGAAAGACGGAAAGACCCCAUGAACCUUUACUGUAGCUUUGUAUUGGACUUUGAACAGAUCUGUGUAGGAUAGGUGGGAGGCUUUGAAGCAGGGUCGCUAGAUCUUGUGGAGCCAACGUUGAAAUACCACCCUGGUGUGUUUGAGGUUCUAACCUAGGUCCAUUAUCUGGAUUGGGGACUGUGCAUGGUAGGCAGUUUGACUGGGGCGGUCUCCUCCCAAAGCGUAACGGAGGAGUUCGAAGGUACGCUAGUUACGGUCGGACAUCGUGACGAUAGUGCAAUGGCAUAAGCGUGCUUAACUGCGAGACCGACAAGUCGAGCAGAUGCGAAAGCAGGACAUAGUGAUCCGGUGGUUCUGUAUGGAAGGGCCAUCGCUCAACGGAUAAAAGGUACUCUGGGGAUAACAGGCUGAUACCGCCCAAGAGUUCAUAUCGACGGCGGUGUUUGGCACCUCGAUGUCGGCUCAUCUCAUCCUGGGGCUGUAGCCGGUCCCAAGGGUAUGGCUGUUCGCCAUUUAAAGAGGUACGUGAGCUGGGUUUAAAACGUCGUGAGACAGUUUGGUCCCUAUCUUCCGUGGGCGCUGCAGAUUUGAGGAAGCCUGCUCCUAGUACGAGAGGACCGGAGUGGACACACCUCUGGUGCAUCGGUUGUCACGCCAGUGGCAUUGCCGAGUAGCUAAGUGUGGAAGAGAUAACCGCUGAAAGCAUCUAAGCGGGAAACUCGUUUCAAGAUGAGAUCUGCCGGGGCCUUGAGCCCCCUAAAGAGUCGUUCAAGACCAGGACGUUGAUAGGUCAGGUGUGGAAGC
Molecule: ribosomal RNA, 1247 nt
Filed under: metagenome
Description: bacterial LSU rRNA
Rfam family: Bacterial large subunit ribosomal RNA
Source: RNAcentral